Molecule: ribosomal RNA, 374 nt
Filed under: uncultured bacterium
Lineage: Bacteria
Description: bacterial SSU rRNA
Rfam family: Bacterial small subunit ribosomal RNA
Source: RNAcentral
GUAGGGGACGAGCGUUAUCCGGAUUUACUGGGCGUAAAGCGCAUGUAGGUGGCGCGGCAAGUUGGACGUGAAAGCUCCCGGCUUAACUGGGAGAGGUCGUACAAAACUGCCGAGCUUGAGGUUGGAAGAGGAGAGCGGAAUUCCCGGUGUAGUGGUGGAAUGCGUAGAUAUCGGGAGGAACACCAGUGGCGAAAGCGGCUCUCUGGUUCAAUACUGACACUGAGAUGCGAAAGCGUGGGGAGCGAACGGGAUUAGAUACCCCGGUAGUCCACGCUGUAAACGAUGGAUACUAGGUGUAGGCGGUCAUUAACCCCGUCUGUGCCGAAGCCAACGCGUUAAGUAUCCCGCCUGGGGACUACGGCCGCAAGGUUAAA